This is a non-coding RNA of Paramuricea clavata, 150 nucleotides long. The record is from the annotation of a GenBank genome assembly. Lineage: Eukaryota; Metazoa; Cnidaria; Anthozoa; Malacalcyonacea; Plexauridae.
GCCACUCCCACAAACGUCUACGACCGCACCUUCAUAGUUUUGCAUGUUUACAAUUCUAAUUUUGAACAGAACUAAAUUUGGCUGUUUAAAAUUAGAAUUGUAAACAUGCAAAACUAUGUAGGCGCGAUCGUAGACGUUUGUGGGAGUGGU